This 301-nucleotide ribosomal RNA is filed under the name uncultured bacterium. Its description in RNAcentral is "partial 16S ribosomal RNA". It matches the Rfam family "Bacterial small subunit ribosomal RNA", at positions 509 to 807 of the family's 1533-position model. The record is from RNAcentral.
CAGUCGCCGCGGUAAUACGGAGGGUGCAAGCGUUAUCCGGAUUUAUUGGGUUUAAAGGGUCCGUAGGCGGACUUAUAAGUCAGUGGUGAAAGCCUGUCGCUUAACGAUAGAACUGCCAUUGAUACUGUAAGUCUUGAGUAUAUUUGAGGUAGCUGGAAUAAGUAGUGUAGCGGUGAAAUGCAUAGAUAUUACUUAGAACACCAAUUGCGAAGGCAGGUUACCAAGAUAUAACUGACGCUGAGGGACGAAAGCGUGGGUAGCGAACAGGAUUAGAUACCCGAGUAGUCCCUGUCUCUUAUAC